UCCGAGACUAGAGUCACAUCCCAACACAGCUCUUGCCUGAUGUGCUAGGGUCCUCAGAGAGAAUCUACUGAUCUUGAUUCACUGGCAGGGGGUGACCAGUGCCCCCACUAGUGCCCUGAUCAGAAACAUGU
Molecule: small nucleolar RNA, 131 nt
Filed under: Dasypus novemcinctus (nine-banded armadillo)
Lineage: Eukaryota; Metazoa; Chordata; Mammalia; Cingulata; Dasypodidae
Description: Small nucleolar RNA SNORA3/SNORA45 family (ENSDNOG00000049529.1)
Rfam family: Small nucleolar RNA SNORA3/SNORA45 family
About the family: The members of this family belong to the H/ACA class of snoRNAs which are thought to guide the sites of modification of uridines to pseudouridines. This family includes mouse snoMBI-28 and human homologues ACA3 (SNORA3) and ACA3-2 (SNORA45).
Source: RNAcentral